CAGCCGCCACGGUAAUGCGUAGGGGGCAAGCGUUAUCCGGAUUUACUGGGUGUAAAGGGAGCGUAGACGGAAUGGCAAGUCUGAAGUGAAAUGCCCGGGCUCAACCCGGGAACUGCUUUGGAAACUGUCGAUCUGGAGUGUUGGAGAGGUAAGUGGAAUUCCUGGUGUAGCGGUGAAAUGCGUAGAGAUCAGGAAGAACACCGGAGGCGAAGGCGGCUUACUGGACAAAGACUGACGUUGAGGCUCGAAAGCGUGGGAAGCAAACAGGAUUAGAUACCCCUGUAGUCCCUGUCUCUUAUAC
This 301-nucleotide ribosomal RNA is filed under the name uncultured bacterium. Its description in RNAcentral is "partial 16S ribosomal RNA". It matches the Rfam family "Bacterial small subunit ribosomal RNA", at positions 509 to 807 of the family's 1533-position model. The record is from RNAcentral.